CAGCUGCUGGGUAGAGACAACAUCUGCCAUGUCAGGAGUACACUCAGCUGGCCUAAUGGGAGGCCCACACAGAGAGGCACUGAGGUCGCCAAUCAAUAACCAACACCAAUACAGCGCAGACCAUAAGCCAGUGUCCCAACUAGGGACUUGAAGAUGAGUCUACAGAGAUGACCAGAGCGGUGCUGGGUGAACUUCAUUUUCCUUUCCUAGUCAAGAAGGCUUAAGUAAUAGUAUGAGGAAAUACCUGAAGACCCAAACCCUGGUAGAAAAGACACUGCUGUCAUGGCAACAUUCUAAGGUCUCUGUGUCAUCCAGGCUGGAGUCCACUGGUGUGAUCUCAGCUCACUGCAACCUCUACCUCCACGUUCAAGCAAUCCUCCUGCCUUAGCCACUCAAGUACCUGGGAUUACAGGUGUGCACCACCACACCCGGCUAAUUUUUGUAUUUUUGGUAGAGAUGGGGUUUGCCAUGUUGCUCAGGCAGGUGUCGAACUCCUGGGCUCCAGUGAUCUGCCCGCCUUGGCAUCCCAAAGUGCUGGGAUUAUAGGCAUGAGCCACUGCACCCGGCUGAAGUCUUUUCUUUCUUUCUUCCUCUCUUGCUUUCUUCCUUUGUGGUGUGAUGAUUUUCUGUGGCCAUAUGCCUUGAAUCCUGUCUUUAUAUAUUUUGUGAAAUUGCUAUAGGCUUUUGGUUUGCAGUUAUAAUGAAGCUUAUAUUAAAUAUCUUAACCUUAUAACAGGCUGCUUAAGCUGAUAAAAACUUCAUUUUAAUAGUGUACAAAAUUUCUACACUUUCCUUUUCUCCCUCCCACCAUUCGUGAUUUUGAUAUCAAAAUUUAUCUUUUUUUGUAAUUUUUAUAUUUUAAAAAUUUAUUGUAGUUAUUUUUAAAUAGUUUUAUCUUUUAACCCUCCUAGUAGGGAUAGAAUUGCUUUACACACCACUCUCACAGUACAAGAGAUUCUGCAUAUGACUAUGUAUUACUUGUACCAUUGAGAAUUUUACUUUCAUAUGUUUUAUGUUAUUAAUUAGCAGACUUUCACUUCAGCUUAAAUAACUUCCUUUAGCAAUUUCUGUAAUGCAGUCCUAGAGGUGAUACACUACCUUAGCUUUUGUUUCUCUGAGAAAGUUGUUUUCCCCUCAUUUCUGAUCGAUGAUUUUUUUUUUUUUUUUUUUUUUUUAGCUUUAGCACAUUGAAUAUGUCAUACUACUCUCUCCUGGACUGCAGAGUUUUUGCUGACAAAUCUGCUGACAGCCAUGUUGGAACUCUCUUGAUUGUGGUGAAGCCUAAGAAACACUGUCUAAGCUAAAGGGCCAAGGUCAACAUCAACAGCGAAAGAGGAGACUUUGGGACUUGGAAGUGACUCCUAAAAUAGAGUAUUUUUAAAACUAUGGAACAUAACCUCAAUAACAUUAUUGAGAAUGGCUACUUGGCAAAUAAGGGAACUUUUGCAUCAGAGAUUAUUUAUGAUACAUCACAAUAGCAAUCUUAAAAAUGGAAGCAGAUUCUGAGAGACCUAAAGCACAAAUAAAUGAUAAAGGAUUGCAAGUGUAAAUAUUAGGUUUCUCUAGGAUGAAGAAAUCUCCUUAAAAAAAGGCCUACGUUUCAAAGCCUAGCUGUGCAGGAUGAAUGAAAAUCCAUUUGCCCAAUAAACUAGAAAAUCUAGAAGAAAUGGAUAAAUUCCUUGACACAUACACCCUCCCAAGACUAAACCAGGAAGAAGUUGAAUCUCUGAAUAGACCAAUAACAGGCUCUGAAAUUGUGGCAAUAAUCAAUAGCUUACCAACCAAAAAAAGCCCAGGACCAGAUGGAUUCAUAGCCGAAUUCUACCAGAG
This 1830-nucleotide long non-coding RNA is filed under the name Homo sapiens (human). RNAcentral's name for it is "HSALNT0102161". Lineage: Eukaryota; Metazoa; Chordata; Mammalia; Primates; Hominidae. The record is from RNAcentral.